RNAcentral lists this ribosomal RNA (497 nucleotides) under uncultured bacterium. Its description in RNAcentral is "partial 16S ribosomal RNA". It matches the Rfam family "Bacterial small subunit ribosomal RNA", at positions 28 to 507 of the family's 1533-position model. The record is from RNAcentral.
GAUGAACGCUGGCGGCGUGCCUAAUACAUGCAAGUCGAACGCAUAGCGAAAGGUGCUUGCACCUUUCACGUGAGUGGCGAACGGGUGAGUAACACGUGGACAACCUGCCUCAAGGCUGGGGAUAACAUUUGGAAACAGAUGCUAAUACCGAAUAAAACUUAGUGUCGCAUGACACAAAGUUAAAAGGCGCUUCGGCGUCACCUAGAGAUGGAUCCGCGGUGCAUUAGUUAGUUGGUGGGGUAAAGGCCUACCAAGACAAUGAUGCAUAGCCGAGUUGAGAGACUGAUCGGCCACAUUGGGACUGAGACACGGCCCAAACUCCUACGGGAGGCUGCAGUAGGGAAUCUUCCACAAUGGGCGAAAGCCUGAUGGAGCAACGCCGCGUGUGUGAUGAAGGCUUUCGGGUCGUAAAGCACUGUUGUAUGGGAAGAACAGCUAGAAUAGGAAAUGAUUUUAGUUUGACGGUACCAUACCAGAAAGGGACGGCUAAAUACGUG